GACGAACCUUGCUAACGUUAUUCGGAAUUACUGGGCUUAAAGGGUGCGUAGGCGGUGUGGCAAGUCGGGAGUGAAAUCUCUGGGCUCAACCCAGAGACUGCUUCCGAAACUGCUGUGCUUGAGUGUGGGAGAGGCGCGUGGAAUUGCAGGUGUAGCGGUGAAAUGCGUAGAUAUCUGCAGGAACACCCGUGGCGAAAGCGGCGCGCUGGACCACUACUGACGCUGAGGAACGAAAGCUAGGGGAGCAAACAGG
Molecule: ribosomal RNA, 253 nt
Filed under: uncultured bacterium
Lineage: Bacteria
Description: partial 16S ribosomal RNA
Rfam family: Bacterial small subunit ribosomal RNA
Source: RNAcentral